GGCGCGCAGCGGCGACGAGCGCCGGCUCGUCAAGGCGCUCCUGGCGGACCCUGCCGCCCCGGACCUCGAGUCGGCCGCCACGGCGGGGGGGAACACGCUCCUCCACGUUGCGGCCGCGGGCGGGCACGCGGACCUCGCGUCGCUCCUCCUCCGCCGCGCCCCGCGCCUCCUCGCCGCGCGCAACGCCGCGCUCGACACCCCGCUCCACCUCGCGGCGCGCGCCGGGGCGCACAAGGUCGUCGCGCUCCUCGUCGCCUCCUCCUCC
This 265-nucleotide long non-coding RNA is filed under the name Setaria italica (foxtail millet). Its description in RNAcentral is "long non-coding RNA (SITA_LNC001570)". The record is from RNAcentral. Lineage: Eukaryota; Viridiplantae; Streptophyta; Magnoliopsida; Poales; Poaceae.